CUGGUUGAUCCUGCCAGUAGUGUAUGCUUUUCCUAAAGAUUAAGCCAUGCAUGCCUAAGACUAUGAGGAAGCAAUUCUCUCUGAAUCUGCGAACGGCUCCGCAAACCAGUUGUAAACCAUAGCAGUGUUCCGCCCGGCUUCAGCAAUGGAGUCGGGCAUUAUAUGGAUAACCGUGGUAAUUCUGAGGCUAAUACAUGACACACAUAACCUGGCGGGCUGGGGCAACCCGGCUUGCUGGGGGACGUGCGAUUCAGCAGUGCUAUAACAAAUAACGGGAAUGAGCGCACGUUCAGACCGCCAUCCAAACGGGUGAAGGGGGGCUCCGGCUUCUUCGAUCUCGGGCGGCCUCUGCAACGGGCUUCUGACCUAUCAACUAGACGGCAGCGUAAGGGACAUGCUAUGGCAACAACGGGUACAGAGGAUUAGGGUUCGAUCCUGGAGAGUGGGCCUGAGAGAUUGCUCAUACUUCUAAGGAAGGCAGCAGGCGCGCAACGUUCCCCUUGGGCAAAGCUCGAGGGCGUUAUGGGAAAUAUGAAUGCUUGCCUAUACGGUGGGCAAUUCAAAUGGGUUUGUCGUAAACAGGCUCUCGAGUAACAAUUAGAGGACAAGUCUGGUGCCAGCACCCGCGGUAAUUCCAGCUCUAAUAGCAUACGUUAAAGUUGUUGCGGUUAAAACGCUCGUAGUCGGCUUUAGAUCGUCAGAAGCCUGGCUCGGGACUUGGGGUCUGUGUUCUCGCAAGAGAGUGCGCCCGGGUUCUGGGCUGGGUAGGCGGCGGUCAAUAGUGCCCAGUGGCGUGCCCGGCUUCGGUCGCGGCUUACAGGGCCUUCGGGGUAUGGACUAGGUCUUUCGGGGCCCGGUUCUCCCGUUGGUCUGGCUCUGGGUACCAUUUACCAUGAUUAAACCGGCGUGAUCAAGGCAAACCGUUGAGGUCACUGCACGGCUUAGCAUGGCAUAAAGCACACAGGCCGGGUGGGAUAGUAGCAGUCCUGCUCGGUCUAUUCGCGAAAGGGGUGUUCGGGGGCAGCCGAAUUGCCGGGCUAGUGGUGAAAUACGUUGACCCUGGCAAGUCGACCGAAAGCGAAAGCAGCUGUCAAGGGCACACCCGUUGAUCAAGAGCGAAAGUUAAGGGUUCGAAGACGAUCAGAUACCGUCGUAGUCUUAACUAUAAAUGAUACUGGCCAGGGAUAGGGCAAUGUCCAUCUCGACUCCCCCCGGACCUUUGGGAAACCAAAGCCUAUGAGUUCUGGGGGGAGUAUGGUCGCAAGGCUGAAACUUAAAGGAAUUGACGGAAG
Molecule: ribosomal RNA, 1292 nt
Filed under: Stemonitis axifera
Lineage: Eukaryota; Evosea; Eumycetozoa; Stemonitida; Stemonitidae
Description: bacterial SSU rRNA
Rfam family: Eukaryotic small subunit ribosomal RNA
Source: RNAcentral